This 253-nucleotide ribosomal RNA is filed under the name uncultured bacterium. Its description in RNAcentral is "partial 16S ribosomal RNA". It matches the Rfam family "Bacterial small subunit ribosomal RNA", at positions 524 to 776 of the family's 1533-position model. The record is from RNAcentral.
UACGUAGGGGGCUAGCGUUGUCCGGAUUUAUUGGGCGUAAAGAGCGUGUAGGCGGCCAAGUAGGUCCGGUGUGAAAACUCGAGGCUCAACUUCGAGCUGUCGGUGGAAACUUUCUGGCUAGAGUCCGGAAGAGGAGAAUGGAAUUCCUGGUGUAGCGGUGAAAUGCGCAGAUAUCAGGAAGAACACCCGUGGCGAAGGCGGUUCUCUGGGACGGUACUGACGCUGAGACGCGAAAGCGUGGGGAGCGAACAGG